This 459-nucleotide ribosomal RNA is filed under the name uncultured bacterium. Its description in RNAcentral is "partial 16S ribosomal RNA". It matches the Rfam family "Bacterial small subunit ribosomal RNA", at positions 338 to 795 of the family's 1533-position model. The record is from RNAcentral.
CCUACGGGAGGCAGCAGUGAGGAAUAUUGGUCAAUGGGCGCGAGCCUGAACCCGCCAAGUCGCGUGAGGGAAGACGGUCCUAUGGAUUGUAAACCUCUUUUGUCGGGGAGCAAAAGACGCCACGCGUGGCGUUCCGAGAGUACCCGAAGAACAAGCAUCGGCUAACUCCGUUCCAGCAGCCGCGGUAAUACGGCGGAUGCGAGCGUUAUCCGGCUUUAUUGGGUUUAAAGGGUUCGCAGGCGGAAGAUCAAGUCAGCGGUAAAAUUGAGAGGCUCAACCUCUUCGAGCCGUUGAAACUGGUGUUCUUGAGUGAGCGAGAAGUAUGCGGAAUGCGUGGUGUAGCGGUGAAAUGCAUAGAUAGCACGCAGAACUCCGAUUGCGAAGGCAGCAUACCGGCGCUCAACUGACGCUCAUGCACGAAAGUGUGGGUAUCGAACAGGAUUAGAUACCCUUGUAGUC